This 289-nucleotide ribosomal RNA is filed under the name uncultured Pseudomonadota bacterium. Its description in RNAcentral is "uncultured proteobacterium partial 16S ribosomal RNA". It matches the Rfam family "Bacterial small subunit ribosomal RNA", at positions 20 to 339 of the family's 1533-position model. Lineage: Bacteria; Pseudomonadati; Pseudomonadota. The record is from RNAcentral.
UGGCUCAGAACGAACGCUGGCGGCAGGCUUAACACAUGCAAGUCGAACGCUCCGCAAGGAGAGUGGCAGACGGGUGAGUAACACGUGGGAACGUACCCUUUACUACGGAACAACUCCGGGAAACUGGAGCUAAUACCGUAUGUGCCCUUCGGGGGAAAGAUUUAUCGGUAAAGGAUCGGCCCGCGUUGGAUUAGCUAGUUGGUGGGGUAAAGGCCUACCAAGGCGACGAUCCAUAGCUGGUCUGAGAGGAUGAUCAGCCACAUUGGGACUGAGACACGGCCCAAACUCC